AGGACGAACGCUGGCGGCGUGCUUAACACAUGCAAGUCGAGCGGUAAGGCCUUUCGGGGUACACGAGCGGCGAACGGGUGAGUAACACGUGGGUGAUCUGCCCUGCACUCUGGGAUAAGCCUGGGAAACUGGGUCUAAUACCGGAUAUGACCUGCUCUCGCAUGGGGGGUGGGUGGAAAGAUUUAUCGGUGCAGGAUGGGCCCGCGGCCUAUCAGCUUGUUGGUGGGGUAAUGGCCUACCAAGGCGACGACGGGUAGCCGACCUGAGAGGGUGACCGGCCACACUGGGACUGAGACACGGCCCAGACUCCUACGGGAGGCAGCAGUGGGGAAUAUGCACAAUGGGCGAAAGCCUGAUGCAGCGACGCCGCGUGAGGAUGAAGGCCUUCGGGUGUAAACCUCUUUCAGCAGGACGAAGCGCAAGUGACGGUACCUGCAGAAGAAGCACCGGCUAAACUACGUGCCAGCAGCCGAC
RNAcentral lists this ribosomal RNA (474 nucleotides) under uncultured soil bacterium. Its description in RNAcentral is "bacterial SSU rRNA". It matches the Rfam family "Bacterial small subunit ribosomal RNA", at positions 26 to 518 of the family's 1533-position model. The record is from RNAcentral.